RNAcentral lists this ribosomal RNA (253 nucleotides) under uncultured bacterium. Its description in RNAcentral is "partial 16S ribosomal RNA". It matches the Rfam family "Bacterial small subunit ribosomal RNA", at positions 524 to 776 of the family's 1533-position model. The record is from RNAcentral.
UACAGAGGUCUCAAGCGUUGUUCGGAUUCAUUGGGCGUAAAGGGUGCGUAGGUGGCGCCAUAAGUCGGGUGUGAAAUCUCGGGGCUUAACUCCGAAACUGCAUUCGAUACUGUGGUGCUUGAGGACUGGAGAGGAGACUGGAAUUCAUGGUGUAGCAGUGAAAUGCGUAGAGAUCAUGAGGACGACCAGUGGCGAAGGCGGGUCUCUGGACAGUUCCUGACACUGAGGCACGAAGGCCAGGGGAGCAAACGGG